AACGAACGCUGGCGGCAUGCCUAACACAUGCAAGUCGAACGAGACCUUCGGGUCUAGUUGCGCACGGGUGCGUAACGCGUGGGAACCUGCCCUUAGGUUCGGAAUAACUCCCCGAAAGGGGUGCUAAUACCGGAUAAUGUCUUCGGACCAAAGAUUUAUCGCCUUUGGAUGGGCCCGCGUUUGAUUAGCUAGUUUGUAGGGUAAAAGCCUACCAAGGCGACGAUACAUAGCUGGUCUGAGAGGAUGAUCAGCCACACUGGGACUGAGACACGGCCCAGACUCCUACGGGAGGCAGCAGUGGGGAAUAUUGGAAAAUGGGCGAAAGCCUGAUACAGCAAUGACGCGUGAGUGAUGAAGGCAUUAGGGUUGUAAAGCUCUUUUACCCGGGAUGAUAAUGACAGUACCGGGAGAAUAAGCACCGGCUAACUCCGUG
RNAcentral lists this ribosomal RNA (433 nucleotides) under uncultured bacterium. RNAcentral describes it as "partial 16S ribosomal RNA". It matches the Rfam family "Bacterial small subunit ribosomal RNA", at positions 29 to 507 of the family's 1533-position model. The record is from RNAcentral.